AUCGAAUUGAUCCUGCCCUCUUUUGAAGGACUUGUUUGAAGGAGUCUUCAUCAGGGAACAAUUUUAGCCUUUUGGUCUGCUUGGUAUGCUGUAGGGUCCCUCCCGCAGGCCAAGAGCCUUUCCAGAGCUGUUGUGUCACGGGUUCCUUGUGCCCAGGGUGCAGUUUUUUAGGGAUUGGUUGCUCUAGUUUGGAAGCAAGGGCUCUCUUUAUCUCUAGAGGCAGAGGCACUCUCCUCUCUCUCUCCCUAUUCAGGUCUCCCACUGGAUCGAAGCGCUCUCUGGCUUCCACCCCCUCUGGCAUGAGUGCUUUUCCCAUGGGCUGUGAGUGGAUCUCUGCAUCCUCUGUGGACUUAAUGCAAAGUGACAGGGCCACAACUUGUUUCAUCCCAGUCCUCACGACAGCUUGCAGAGGAAUCUCAGCUGUGACGAGCACUUUGGAGCACUUCUUCCCCCUUUUUUCCAUUGACCUUGGUGCCGGCAUGUUGUUUUCCAGCACAUUCUCACUUCCUCCUCUCCUCUGACUAGAAGAAAAGCUGCUGCUCGUAGGUGCUACUGCUAAAAGGCUUCACCAGUUCAGAGAUCCCUGGACGCUCCCCCAGCGGCAGGAGGUCGAUCUUGUUUAGGCCGCGUGUCGGGGAGUCACUGGCCAUGUUUUUGCCACGGGCAUCGGGCGGGCAGCGGCAGCCACGGGGGCCCUGGCGCUGUUUAAGGCUUCUCCUGGUGCGUGUUGCCGGAGGAGAAGCUGCCGCUGCCAGCCGUGCCCUCCUGCCUGGGGCGUGGCUGGCCGCGGGGCCGGGCAGGCCGGCUGUGCCGCGGCCACACCGAGCUGGCGGUGGCCACAGCGGUGCCCAGCCCUGCACCGCGACGGGAUGGGCUGUGGCACGGUGCCUCCCCACCCCUGGAACAGACUGCCCGUGGGCUGCUUUGAUGUUCUUUGUCAAUGGGACCAUGAGGCCUUACCCACCUUUCUAAUUGGGCCGGCGGCACGCCCAUCUUCAGAGCUAUCAACCAGUGGCUCUGUUGGACAUGGUAGAAGCUUCUAGCAGCUUCUCCCAGAAGUCACCUCUGUGGGCUCCCUGCUGCUACCACAAAACCAGGCUGUGCCAAAUCAACACGGCGGUCUUUGGUAGGACUGCUGAGGUGCAAUGAUGAGCUUCACCUUUUGUAACUUCUUGCUCUGAGCCUGAGUAAAUGACAAAAUUCUCGUAGCUGCUGUCAGUGAUUUAAGCAUGGCAAGAAACUCACUCCCCAUGCCGAGCGCCCCCCCAGCCCCGGAGUCUGUGAGCAAGAACCUGAAUGUAUUGGAUGAUGUAACCUAGAAAUGUGUGUUCUAUUUCAUCUGUGGAAAGCAGUUUUUUGGGACAUGUUUUAUCCUUCUGUUACCCUUCCAGGGAAGAGGGAGACUGAUGCCUUCUGAUACUGGCCCAGCCAUGAAAACCAGGUGAGGCAGUGUUUCUUACCUCUUUCAGCACUCCUCAGUCCUCCAGGGGGGCAUUUUAAGGAUGGCCUGGAGCUGUUGGAGCUGCCCUGGACAGCAGGCAAGCAUGGACUCUCUCUGCUGCUGCUGGGCUCUGGACCCCUUUCCUCCUCUGCCUGCUUAUCACUGUCACUACUAUUUUCCACAUGGCAGGAGGUCCUGCUGAGAUUUUCAAACUAGUAGGUGUUGGAUAGAGCUUUGUUCCCCCUUGCCAUGCCCACGUCUCCUUCCUUCCCUAGCGUUGCUUUUUUUCCUUCUACGGUUUCCCAUCACGUCGCUCACAAAACCGGCCAUGCACAGGCCGCUUUGAUCCUCUUGCUUUUUGUAUUUGAGCAUCCCUUGCGUUCUGCAGGGCUCCCCCCGCGAUGCCGGAGGUUUCUUAGGUCUGUUUUCUCUUUGUUGUGUUGGUAUUUCAAUGUUUCAUUCCAUUCUGGGCUCCUACUUCGGAGAGAAACGUGCAGCUCCUGGAGCAGGUGUUGUGGAGGGGCAUUCCGAUGAUUCAGGGGCUGCAGUAUCUCUGUUGGAAGGCAAGGCUGGGGGAGCUGGGCCUGUUGUAAGUCACAGGACUGAGCAGGGAACUUCUUCAUGUCUGUCACUGCUUUAAGAGGGGGUGCUAGGAGGCUGCAGCCAGACUGUUCCUGUCGGUGCCAAGCACUGGGACAUGAGGCCAUGGGCAGCAUGUCAUGCUGCAGGAAGUUCCAGGUGGACAUAAGGAUGAAUUUCUUGAUGGUGGGGGUGAGCAAGCACCAGAAAAGAUUGCCCCGAGAGGUUGUGGAGUGUCCCUCACUUGAGCUCCACCAGAACCACGUUGACACUAUGUUGUGCCACGUGUUGUAGGAAGAUCCUACUGCAGCGGGAAGGGUGGAACUGAUGAGUGUCUAUGGUCCCUUACAGCCUAGCAGUGUGAUCCUGUGCUUGGUGUUCUGUGCUGUGUGAACUGCAAAAUCGCAGCCUAGCCCUCGCAGCUUCAUUCUGUCCUUGGGGGAAAGUGGGUUACUCCACUGUGUCCGUGUGUUCUCUGCUCUCCUUGUGCAGCUGGUAACAUGCCUGUACCUCCCACCUGAGAGAAGAGAAGGCUGUGAAGAAAGAGGUUGUUGUGCUUGCCAUCUUUCCUCCAGUCUCCUCUCUGCACAGAGCACAGGGAAGGAGAGCUCCUUGCGGGAGCUGCUGACAGUGAGGCUGAGCUCCUCUGCAGUAUUGGUGAGGCAGACCUUGUCGGUGGUACUGUGACUGCUAGCACGGGGGGAUACCGGCUGUGUGCCGGUGUGAAAGAGCAGGUCCAGUGGGUGUCAGGUCGUGCAGGAGGAAGGCUGUUUCCUUUGGAAGGAAGCGCUGUCCUUUUGCAUGGUAUCUGUUUCCAUGCGGGCUGUCUGUUUCUUGGCUUUGCUGUUCUGAAGGUGGGUGUUCUGUGAUGAAAGCGAUUGGAUGCCUUUGCAAAGUCACCAUAGUUUGCAGCACCUGUGGGACGGAUGGAGUCAUUGCUUUUAAAGCAGGAUGCACAACCACUGAUCUCCUGCUCAUGGCCUUUCUCCUCACUCUCUAGGGAAGCACCUGUUCUCUGCCUUUGUUCCACCGGUGGGUGCUGAACAUGUGCAGCAACCCUGGAGUCCACAGCAAUUCGGUGGUGUCAGCUGCUGCAGCAGCCCUGGCUCAUGGCAAAGUCUGCACGGUCAAGUACUGCUCAGUCAUGCCCGAUUUCUGGACCCAUCCCUCCUCGUCCUAAAAGCACAAUCCAAUGUUACCAUUCUUUUCCCCAGGAAAGGAGAAACCCAGAGGAGUGUUCCUACAUGACUGUUUUUAAACCUGUUACGGGCCCUUCCCAGUUUGCUAUUUACUGCCUGAAAGGCUGCAGUGACACCGGUGCUUCUCUCUUCUCGCUUUGCUUUGUUGAAGCACGGCCGGCCGCUUGACCGCACUGACUUCCUACCUGUGAGGGUUCCGUUGCCUACCGUCUGCUUCCAGACAUCAGCAGACACCUCUGGGAUCCUAACGGUGGCCUAGAGGAGGAAUCCUUCCACGCUACGAUGAGGUUUGGAUCCGGCAGCUUGGAAGCAGCCACAGGCAGAGAGCGUGGGGACGCCCACGGUGCCGAGACGUCGUUUUCCGUCCAGGCCGGAGUUUGUGGGCUCAUCUUCCGAAAGCUAAGUGUCGGGGACGGGGGUGAGGAGAAGAGGAAAAAGGUUUUCAGUGGCAGGAGGCAAUUCAAAGCUAGCUUAGGGCAGAGGGCCCUAGAGGGCCAGAGGCCCGGUAAGUAAAGGUAGAGGAUUCAUCCCGGGCAUCAGCAGAGCUUUUGCCGGGCAGGGCAUUAGCGUCCCCCAUCCGCGUUUUAGGGAGCCGGGCAUCGUAUGCCUGGUUGGAGUCCACAGGGUUAGGGUGCAGCAGGGAGCGGGCAGCCCACACCGGGAUCCCCGUGCCAGGAGCGUCUGCAGUUGUGAGGAGUAGAGUGGAGCAGGAGCACUUGAGAGAGACCCAGUGAGGCUGAGGGAGGGCUUGAGAGGUGAGGGAGUGUCAGGCCAGAGGGCUUGAGAGGUGAGGGAGUGUCAGGCCAGAGAGCAGGAGGUGAAAGUAAGGCGUAGAGGCUAGGAUGCAAAUUUGAGCACAGGUGUAUGAGCCCUGAGAAGUGUCCUGUUUCCCUGAGAGCAGGUGCAGGCAGCCAGGCUGUGGCAGGCCAGCGGCAGAAGAGCCGAGAGGGGCAGGCAGGAAGCGUUAGUGGGGAGCAGGGUCCGCAGGGCCGGGUCUAACCGGGGGUUUCCCGCCCCGGCCCACCCUGGGAUCUCCUGUCUCCCCGCAGUCGAGGAUGUCUCCUCCCAUUCCUCGAGGCGGCGGUUGGUAAGGCUUCGUGCCUUUGCCACCGCCAAGAGCGCGGCUCUGUCAGCCUCUGCCCUGUCUCAGGGCCAAAGUUAGUUAGGCUAGGGAGAAACUGUGGAUGACUCGUCCUGCCCGCAGGACAACCCUUGGGACCCUGGAUCAGGAGCAUCCUCGACUGCUAGCAUAGGGCCUUAGAGAAGUAGGGUGAAGCAGGGCACUUGAGAGAGACCCAGCGAGACUGAGGGAGGGCUCGAGAGGUGAAGGAGCGUCAGGCCAGAGAGCAGGCCAUGAAUGUAAGGUGUAGAGGCUAGGAUGCAAGUUUGAGUGCAGGUGUAUGAGCCCUGAGAACAGUCCUGUUUCCCUGAGAGCAGGUGCAGGCAGCCAGGCUGUGUCAGGGCAGUGGCAGAAGCGCUGAGGGGGCAGGCAGUAGGGCUAGGGCUAGGCAGGAAAUGAGGAGGGGGGGCAGAGUCGACUGGGUUGGGGUUGAGCGUGGGAUGCCCACCCUGGUAUCUCUGUCCUGCUGCAAUCAGGGAUGUCACAGCCCUAGUGGAGGCCAGGGUGGGUGAGUGGGCUUAGCAUCCAUCAUGCCACCAAGACUUUGUCCAUGCAGGUGUUAGGCUGUGAGCGAAGCCAACGCAAGCUGCCCAAGACUCUGGGCAUUGUUAAGAGAGGGAGAGCCCCAGGAUCAGUGUUUUUUGGCUGAUGUGCUGCAAAGUUCACGCUUUAAUGUUUGGUUUUCUUUUUUAUAGCUGAGGAAGAGACACCAGGCUGGUGACAGCGGGACUUUCCCAGAGGGCGAGGCGGCAUUCCUUGGCACCGGAUGUGGAUGGCGAUCCCUGGACCUCCCAGAGCUAAGUGGAGGGCUCAAGCUGCAGAGGGCAUGAGAGCAGGGUGCUGGGUUGGGAGUUGCUGGGGGGGGAUUAUUGAGUCUGGUUUGGCUAGGGAGAUGUGCAUCAUGUGAGCGCUUAGGGCACCUGAAGGGCAAGUGUCAUUUUUGCUGGCCAUGCUGAGCUGUGGAGGGCGGAGCAGUCCCGGGCACGUGGUGUCUGUCGUGUGUCGCGCACUCUGUGUGUGUCGGGCAUCUCAUCUUUCACGUCUUUACCCAUAGCCCCCCAGGGGUCCUAUGGGGAGCCCCGGCAUCACUGUUAGCAUUUCUGAUGUCUGCCUUCGUGGCCCCAGCAGCUUUGACGGGAGAGCUGGGACAUGGAUCUGAAUCUGGUGUCCCUUUAGACUCAUCCAGUGCGAUGUCUUUUGAGGUCUUGUUCUGAGCUGUACAGAGAGCCGUGCCCCACCACGAUCCAUUUUGGCGGGUUAGGACUUGUUAGAAGUCCAAGCUAGGUCUGGGCUUGUGACCGGAGGAGUGUCGGGCAUCCAUCUUUGUGGUUCUUGAAAUGAUUCAUCCUGUUAGCAUCAUCUUCCUGCAGGGUUCUGUGAGCCUGGCCAGCUCACCUUAUUUCUUCCGUUUGUCAUCUCAUUCCGAGUUCUCUCGGUCCUCCCGGUCGUUCUUCUUGCGGAGAGCUUUUGUUGUUGUGGUGUCCCCUGGUUUGUGGUGUCCUGUGUGAUGGAUGUUGUGGUGUCUUUGUCCCGGAGCUGCUCUGCCCUACCGCAUGGGUGGGUGUAGGGGUAAUAGAAGAAGCCCCUGGGGCCUGAACUGGGUGAUGUCAGGUGGAGUUGUGGUGUGGGGGGCAUUCAUAGGUUGGCAGCACGUGUCUGUCGCUGUCAAGUUCCCGUGCCGCAGUGUGACUUUGUUCCUGUGCGUGUUUCAGAUGCGGAUGGAUUCACUUGGUGGCAGAGGGCCCCAUCCCGGGUGAGGGGGUGUCCCCAGAAGAGGAACUGAAGCGGGAUGUCAUCUGUCAAGGUGAAGCGGAGCAGGAGCUGUCACUUUCCACGGAGCUGCCCUCAGCAAGCAGAGGAUGGAUGCGGUUUGCCUGUCUCCUGAGACCUGUGGGGAGCAGGAGUGUGUGAUGAAGCCUUGAUAUUUUCCAUUUGAAGGUGCCAUCCAGGUAGGCUUUGUUUAAGAGCCUGGGAGCUGAGGUGAGUCGGGGAGGCAGGGAGGAGGAGCGAGGGUGCAGUCAAGAUUGAGCUGUGCCACAUCACCUGCCGUCCUCUUAAGCCAGGUCCACCCCGUGACGACGGCAGGGGGCUCGGAGCACGGCCGAGGCGUGCGGGGCGAGGACGUAGGUAUUCUUAGGAGACGCUGAGGAAGAGACACCAGCCCGGUGGUGGCAGGACAUUCCCAGAGGGCGAGGCGGCGUUCCUUGGCACUGACGUGGACGGUGAUCACCGGACCUCCCAGAGCUAAGUGGAGGGCUCGAGGCACAGAGGGGAUGAGAGCAGGGUGCUGGGUUGGGAGUUGCUGGGGGGGAUUGAGUUCAGUAUGGAUCUGGAGAUGUGCAGGAUGUGAGUGCUUAGGGCACGUGAAAGGCAAGUGUCAUUUCUGAUUGUAAUGCUGAGACAGGCAGGGCAGAGCAGUCCCGGGCACGGGGUGUCUGUUGUCCACUCUGUGUGUGUCAGGCAUCUCAUCUUUCACGUCUUUUCCCAUAGCCCCUCAAGGGGCCUGUGGGGAAACCUGGGAUCACUGUUAGCAUUUCUGAUGUCUGCCUUCCUGGCUCCAGUGGCUUUGACUGGAGAGCUGGGACUUAGAUCUGAACCUCAUCUCUGUUCAGAGUCAUCCAGUGCGAUGUCUUUUGAGGUCUUGUUCUGAGCUGUACAGACAGCUGUGCCCCGCCACGAUCCAUUUUGGCGGGUUAGGACUUGUUUAGAAGUCCAAGCUAGGUCUUGGCUUGUGAGCGGAGGAGCGUCGGGCAUCCAUCUUUGUGAUUCUUGAAGUGAUUCAUCUUGUUAGCAUCCUUUUCCUGCAGGAUUCUGUGAGCCUGGCCAGCUCACCUUGUUUCUUCCGUUUCUCAUCUCAUUCUGAGUUCUCUCGGUCCUCCCGGUCGUUCUUCUUGCGGAGAGCUUUUUGUUGUUGUGGUGUCCCCUGGUUUGUGGUGUCCUGUGUGAUGGAUGUUGUGGUGUCUUUGUCCCGGAGCUGCUCUGCCCUGCCGCAUGGGUGGGUGUAGGGGUAAUAGAAGAAGCCCCUGGGGCCUGAACUGGGUGAUGUCAGGUGGAGUUGUGGUGUGGAGGGCAUUCAUAGGUUGGCAGCACGUGUCUGUCGCUGUCAAGUUCCCGUGCCGCAGUGUGACUUUGUUCCUGUGCGUGUUUCAGAUGCGGAUGGAUUCACUUGGUGGCAGAGGGCCCCAUCCCGGGUGAGGGGGUGUCCCCAGAAGAGGAACUGAAGCGGGAUGUCAUCUGUCAAGGUGAAGCGGAGCAGGAGCUGUCACUUUGCACGGAGCUGCCCUCAGCAAGCAGAGGAUGGAUGCGGUUUGCCUGUCUCCUGAGACCUGUGGGGAGCAGAAGAGGAGUGUGUGAUGAAGCCUCGAUAUUUUCCAUUUGAAGGUGCCAUCCAGCCAGGUCCACCCCGUGACGACGGCAGGGGGCUCGGAGCACGGCCGAGGCGUGCGGGGCGAGGACGUAGGUAUUCUUAGGAGACGCUGAGGAAGAGACACCAGCCCAGUGGGAGCUGAGCCAGGUCCACCCUGUGACGACGGCAGGGGGCUCGGAGCGCGGCCGAGGCGUGCGGGGCGAGGACGUAGGUAUUCUUAGGAGACGCUGAGGAAGAGAUACCAGCCCGGUGGUGGCAGGACAUUCCCAGAGGGCGAGGCGGCGUUCCUUGGCACUGAUGUGGACGGUGAUCACCGGACCUCCCAGAGCUAAGUGGAGGGCUCGAGGCACAGAGGGGAUGAGAGCAGGGUGAUGGGUUGGGAGUUGCUGGGGGGGAUUGAGUUCAGUAUGGAUCUGGAGAUGUGCAGGAUGUGAGUGCUUAGGGCACAUGAAAGGCAAGGGUCAUUUCUGAAUGUAAUGCUGAGACAGGCAGGGCAGAGCAGUCCCGGGCACGUGGUGUCUGUUGUCCACUCUGUGUGUGUCAGGCAUCUCAUCUUUCACGUCUUUUCCCAUAGCCCCUCAAGGGGCCUGUGGGGAACCCUGGGAUCACUGUUAGCAUUUCUGAUGUCUGCCUUCCUGGCUCCAGUGGCUUUGACUGGAGAGCUGGGACUUAGAUCUGAACCUCAUCUCUGUUCAGAGUCGUCCAGUGCGAUGUCUUUUGAGGUCUUGUUCUGAGCUGUACAGACAGCUGUGCCCCGCCACGAUCCAUUUUGGCGGGUUAGGACUUGUUUAGAAGUCCAAGCUAGGUCUUGGCUUGUGAGCGGAGGAGCGUCGGGCAUCCAUCUUUGUGAUUCUUGAAGUGAUUCAUCUUGUUAGCAUCCUUUUCCUGCAGGGUUCUGUGAGCCUGGCCAGCUCACCUUGUUUCUUCCGUUUGUCAUCUCAUUCCGAGUUCUCUCGGUCCUCCCGGUCGUUCUUCUUGCGGAGAGCUUUUUGUUGUUGUGGUGUCCUGUGUGAUGGAUGUUGUGGUGUCUUUGUCCCGGAGCUGCUCUGUCCUGCCGCAUGGGUGGGUGUAGGGGUAAUAGAAGAAGCCCCUGGGGCCUGAACUGGGUGAUGUCAGGUGGAGUUGUGGUGUGGAGGGCAUUCAUAGGUUGGCAGCACGUGUCUGUCGCUGUCAAAUUCCCGUGCUGCAGUGUGACUAUUUUCCUGACUUUGUUUCAGAUGCAGAUGGAUUCAAUCCAUGGCAGAGCGCCUCAUCCUGGGUGAGGGGGUUCCUCUGUGAAGGUGUAAGUCACUGUCUUAGCUGGGGUAGUGUAAAUAAUGACUGUGUAACAGUUCUUUUUUUCUCUUUACUUUCAGGAAGUGAUGGUAGAUGUCAGCUCUCAAGGUGAAGUGGAGCAGGUGAACUGUGAUUGUUGGAGAGAAGCAGUUGCUAUUGCGGAAGUCUUACUUGAUCAUGCAUGUCUAAGCAUCCCCUUUUGUGUUUUAUGGGGUCUGCUUGCAUGACACCAUUCUGUCACAAACCAGGUGCCGGUUUCUGUUUGGAAUUUUAGCUGGCAGCCAUCCCUUUGCUGGCCCAUGGCCUUAGACAGAAGCAGUGUCCCUUCUCCAUGGGCAUGCCAAUUCACCCUCCCCUGUUCCUGAUGUGAUUUUGUAGGAGGCAUUUGGCACUCCAAGUUAGACAUGUGUUGUCUCUGCCAGCUUUUGCCUGCCCUGUAAGCCUGCUUCCCUUCCUUUUCUGCAGCAUGUGUCUGUCCUGGUCUUAGAAUUUGUGCAUGCUUUGCAACGAAAUGUUUCAUUUAGCAUCAAUCAUGGACAUUGCUGAGCAAUUGUGUCUGUGUCUUCUUUCAUUCAUGAACUCUUCACCACUCGAUGGGGACUCUCCCAGACAUUUUAUGAUUGAAAUCCGUUCACCCGUGAGUGAAGAACACAAAGGGCAAGAGGUGUUUCUGCCUGUCCUGUUUUUUUUAAGGUGUAGGUGAAGUCUAAGCUCCAGUACCCUCUGCCGUGCAGCUCCUUUGGCCUAUCCCACAGUCCAUGAAGUAAGCACGUAUAAAAGCUGGGCCAAGUUUCCCUGCACAGUUUUAGUUUGUCUGUUGCAGCCCUGAGCAGGUGUCUAAAAUAAGUAAAAACCCCCUGGUGCCUCCGUCUCCCCCCUAGGCAGGGAUGCAGGGGCAGCAGCACCCCUGAAACGAUGUCCCAAACAGAGAGCCUUCCCAGGCCCCUGGAGAAGAGCUGAAGGGGUAAGAAGAGAGGGCAGGAAAG
Molecule: long non-coding RNA, 9967 nt
Organism: Hirundo rustica (Barn swallow)
Lineage: Eukaryota; Metazoa; Chordata; Aves; Passeriformes; Hirundinidae
Exons: 12
Source: RefSeq, a predicted model, not a curated record